CGGAAUGAGGAACUGCUUGAUUUCAAUAAAAACUGGGAAGAUCUCCAUGAAGUGAUGUGGAAUGAAAGGAGCAGAAGCAGGAGAACACACUGUACACAGUAACUGAAACAUUGUGGGACGAUCAAAUGUAACAGAUUCUGCUACUAAUAGCAAUGCAACGAUCAAGAAUCAUCCCAUAGAGCUCAUGAGUAAGAACGCUAUCCACAUUGAGAGAAAGAACCGUGGGAGCAGAAAUGCAAAAGAAAAUAUAUGA
This 253-nucleotide long non-coding RNA is filed under the name Monodelphis domestica (gray short-tailed opossum). RNAcentral describes it as "lncRNA (ENSMODG00000039984.1)". The record is from RNAcentral. Lineage: Eukaryota; Metazoa; Chordata; Mammalia; Didelphimorphia; Didelphidae.